Molecule: unclassified non-coding RNA, 141 nt
Filed under: soil metagenome
Description: partial internal transcribed spacer 1
Source: RNAcentral
CAUUCAGUAGCCCAGCUACUUGUUUACACCCUUGUUCUUUUUUGCGUACUUAUCGUUUCCUCGGCGGGCUUGCCUGCCGGUUGGACAACUUUGUAACCUUUUUAAAUCUUCAAUCAGCGUCUGAAUAAUAUACAAUAAUUA